This 592-nucleotide ribosomal RNA is filed under the name Enterococcus sp. Its description in RNAcentral is "bacterial SSU rRNA". It matches the Rfam family "Bacterial small subunit ribosomal RNA", at positions 49 to 612 of the family's 1533-position model. The record is from RNAcentral. Lineage: Bacteria; Bacillati; Bacillota; Bacilli; Lactobacillales; Enterococcaceae.
CUAUACAUGCAAGUCGAACGCUUCUUUCCUCCCGAGUGCUUGCACUCAAUUGGAAAGAGGAGUGGCGGACGGGUGAGUAACACGUGGGUAACCUACCCAUCAGAGGGGGAUAACACUUGGAAACAGGUGCUAAUACCGCAUAACAGUUUAUGCCGCAUGGCAUAAGAGUGAAAGGCGCUUUCGGGUGUCGCUGAUGGAUGGACCCGCGGUGCAUUAGCUAGUUGGUGAGGUAACGGCUCACCAAGGCCACGAUGCAUAGCCGACCUGAGAGGGUGAUCGGCCACACUGGGACUGAGACACGGCCCAGACUCCUACGGGAGGCAGCAGUAGGGAAUCUUCGGCAAUGGACGAAAGUCUGACCGAGCAACGCCGCGUGAGUGAAGAAGGUUUUCGGAUCGUAAAACUCUGUUGUUAGAGAAGAACAAGGACGUUAGUAACUGAACGUCCCCUGACGGUAUCUAACCAGAAAGCCACGGCUAACUACGUGCCAGCAGCCGCGGUAAUACGUAGGUGGCAAGCGUUGUCCGGAUUUAUUGGGCGUAAAGCGAGCGCAGGCGGUUUCUUAAGUCUGAUGUGAAAGCCCCCGGCUCAA